RNAcentral lists this ribosomal RNA (115 nucleotides) under Candidatus Pacearchaeota archaeon. The record is from RNAcentral. Lineage: Archaea; Nanobdellati.
GAGGACGACCAUAAUAACCAGGAAACACCUGAUCCCUUUCCGAACUCAGAAGUUAAGCUGGUUAUGUCUUUGGCUCUAGUUUCAGAAAUGAAGCGAAACCUAGAUGUUGUCUUCA